This 539-nucleotide long non-coding RNA is filed under the name Eucalyptus grandis. RNAcentral describes it as "long non-coding RNA (EGRA_LNC007771)". Lineage: Eukaryota; Viridiplantae; Streptophyta; Magnoliopsida; Myrtales; Myrtaceae. The record is from RNAcentral.
UUUCAUUUAUAUAUGCACAUGCGGAAGCAGUUAUAAAUCCCCAGACAAUAAAGCAAUGGGAUAGAAAAGCAGGCCAUACAUUUCUCAUACUGAAAAUUCACAACUACAUCUUUUUACAUGCAAACAAGGACUGACAAGACUGGACGGGAUCUCAGUCCUCAUCCGGGUCGUACUCGGGGUCCUCCUCCACGUACUCCUCUUCGGGUUCCUCAUCAGGGACCUCCUCAUCAGAUUCAUGCUCCUUAGGCUCCUCAUCCAAGUCCUGAAAUGGUUAUUCAAUAACCACUGAGACCACGUCUCAGCAAGUUCUACUCCCUAAGACCCGAUUAGUAAACUAAUACACCUUAGGGCUGCCUACGCACAACAUGAGUCAGAUGACGUACCUUAGCCUCAGAUUCCACCUGCAUAUUAGUACAGUUCGAAUAGGCACACAAACAAUCACAUCAUAGAUCGAAGCAUCGAUCUAAUCGACUUAGUCGAUUUCACAUCAGGAAGACCACUCACGAUCAUCUCCCUUCAAUCAUUCAAUUCAACACAUC